RNAcentral lists this long non-coding RNA (1242 nucleotides) under Bos grunniens (domestic yak). RNAcentral's name for it is "lncRNA (ENSBGRG00000018027.1)". The record is from RNAcentral. Lineage: Eukaryota; Metazoa; Chordata; Mammalia; Artiodactyla; Bovidae.
AUGCCUCCAAAGCGGGUCGGCUCACUGGCGACCCGGCAGGACGUCACGCCUUGCGGGCAGGACUCCAACGCCCUGUGGCUGGAAGAGACAGCCAGUGACCCCAUCCAGGAUGAGCAGACCUCGGCGAGGGCUGCCCAUAACCGUGUUAUCAGGAACGGUGUCGCAGGCACCAAGGAUGCGAGAAAACAGCAGGAGUCUGGGGAGGCCCUCCCUCCCCACAGAGAGAAUGGCAUCUCACUGCAAAACAGAUUAUUCUUCCUCAAGGCGUGCCAUUGUUUUUUUUUUUUUCUCAUUUGUCUUUUUUUUUUUUUUAGCAGUUUCGGGUUCACAACAAACUUAACAAGAAGGGACAGAGACUUCCGUGUACCUCCUACCCGCCCCCAGGAGGUACAGCUCCCCACUGUCGACGUCCCACCAGAGCGCCCCUGGCUACUGAUGAACCUAGAGGGCACGCCGUCAUCACCCAGAGUCCACAGCUUAAACCAGGGCUCACCUCGGUCUUGUAUCUUCCAUGAGUUCGGACAGAUGUUUAAUGUAUCCACCACUGCAGCAUCACGGAGAGGAUUUCCUGCCCUGAAAAGCCCUCCAUGCUCUCUCUACUCACCCCUCUCCACACUCCCACCCCUGGCAGCCAGUGAUGUCUUCACUGUCUCCACAGUUCUGCUUUUUCCAGAAUUUUAUGUAGUUGGAGCUGUACACUGCGGGCUUCCUGGUGGCACAGCGGUAAAGAAUCAGCCCGGCCAUGCAGGAGACGCAAGACUCAGGUUUGAGCUCUGGGUUGGAAAGAUCCCUGGAGUAGGAAAUGGCGACCCACAGAAGCCUAGCAGGCUGCAGUCCAUGAGGCCAGAGAGUCAGGCAAGACUGAGCACACACACGCACACACGCACGCACACACACGGCACACACAUGCACACAUGCGCACACAUGCACGCAUGCACACAUGUACACACACGCACACACGCACGCACAUGCACAGGCGCACACAUGCACGCAUGCACACAUGUACACACACGCACACACGCACGCACAUGCACAGGCGCACACAUGCACGCAUGCACACAUGUACACACACGCACACAUGCGCACACAUGCACGCAUGCACACAUGUACACACACGCACACACGCACGCACGCACAGUGGGCAGCCUUUGCAGCCUGGCUUCUUUCACACUGUCACAGCAUUUAAGGCUCCUCCAUGUCUUCCCGUGGUGUGACAGCUCACUUCUUCCUAGUGCUGAAUAA